UACAGAGGUCUCAAGCGUUGUUCGGAUUCAUUGGGCGUAAAGGGCGCGUAGGCUGCGGGGCAAGUCGGGUGUGAAAUCUCAGAGCUCAACUCUGAAACUGCACUCGAUACUGCUUUGCUCGAGGACUGGAGAGGAGAUUGGAAUUCACGGUGUAGCAGUGAAAUGCGUAGAUAUCUGGAGGAACACCGGUGGCGAAGGCGGCAUCCUGGACCGGCAUUGACGCUGAGGCGCGAAAGCUAGGGGAGCAAACGGG
This 253-nucleotide ribosomal RNA is filed under the name uncultured bacterium. RNAcentral's name for it is "partial 16S ribosomal RNA". It matches the Rfam family "Bacterial small subunit ribosomal RNA", at positions 524 to 776 of the family's 1533-position model. The record is from RNAcentral.